Molecule: transfer RNA, 73 nt
Filed under: Felis catus (domestic cat)
Lineage: Eukaryota; Metazoa; Chordata; Mammalia; Carnivora; Felidae
Also listed under: 1 other name
Rfam family: tRNA
About the family: Transfer RNA (tRNA) molecules are approximately 80 nucleotides in length. Their secondary structure includes four short double-helical elements and three loops (D, anti-codon, and T loops). Further hydrogen bonds mediate the characteristic L-shaped molecular structure. tRNAs have two regions of fundamental functional importance: the anti-codon, which is responsible for specific mRNA codon recognition, and the 3' end, to which the tRNAs corresponding amino acid is attached (by aminoacyl-tRNA synthetases). tRNAs cope with the degeneracy of the genetic code in two manners: having more than one tRNA (with a specific anti-codon) for a particular amino acid; and 'wobble' base-pairing, i.e. permitting non-standard base-pairing at the 3rd anti-codon position.
Source: Rfam by way of RNAcentral
AUCUAUCUGGCUCUCUUGGUAGAGCGUGUGACUCUUGAUCUCAGGGCCAUGAGUUCAAGCCCCAUGUUGGGUG